UUCAGGUCAUAACAUAAUGAACCUACACUGAUUUUAAUUGAAUAGAAAAUGAGGAAUACAAGCAUCCAUAUUGUGCAAAUUACAGGUCGCUAACAUUUUAAUUUUAUCCAAACUGAUUCAACUUACUGGAAUCCAAUAAGGAAUAGAACAAUGGCACUAACAUUUCAUUUUCUAUAUAGAAACAAUUCAACUUACUGGCACUAACCUUAGUAAAAUUAACCGAUCCAUUCAUACAAUCAGUUUCCUCGCGAAGGCAAAGUAAUAAUGUGUGCAACCCAAGAGGGGACUUGACACUAUUUAUCAAACAAAGCUUAGUGGAGUCAAACUCAUCUCAUAGCUCUAGCAGCAUGCGUCAUGCACAACCAAACUGCAUCUUGCAGUCAAGUAGCUACAGUAGCUUCUGAUUUCCCUGCUCGGACUUUAGCAUCCACGCCAAGAAAAUAUACUUAACAGGUCAACAAUUUUUGGGGUAUACAUCAUGUUCAUCCUACGUGGAUGCGGUCAUAGGUACUGCUCAUUUGUUAGACUCAAGUCUGGUCAGCAACUACCACAUGUAUUCCAUUGUGUUCGCUGCAAAAAUAGAAAUAGCAUGAAUUCUUAAAAGGCAAAAUUGCAAGCUGUGCAUUACCUGUAAAGUCGACUAUCAAGUAGAACAAGGACCAAGUACAAAGACAGAGAUAAUGUAUAGGUUCAGCUUCUCAAUCGAAUUCACUCCAUACAGAGAGAUGUGCUCCUGUAGCUAACAUUCAUUCUACAUAAGGCCCCAUUUAGUAUAUCUAAUCAAAUGGCCAGAGCUAAUGAACUCGACACCUACUCAAAUUCUGCUCCACCACCUACUCAAAUUCCACUCCACCUGCUCCCAUUUAUUCCUCUCCUCUGUCCAUAAUUACAAUCUUCUCUCUUAUGUUCCUGACAUGAACAAUAUACUACAUAAAUAUUUGGUGUAUCAUAAAAUGGACUACAUCUGCUUGUAGUCUCACAUGUUUCAAUUUUUUUUACAAUAUGCUAAUGCAGCCCUACAUGAUAAAUUGCAUUCUUGUACUACUUCUCUAUCCCCAACUUCUAACUCGUCUUUGUUAUGUUCAGAUAAAUGAUUUCAUGACGACAUCCUAAUCUAGAGUACAUAUUUUGUUGUAAUACGUAAAGCUGAUAAGAAUAGAGAUUACCCUGAAACCAAUUGAUGUUUGACCUAAACUGAAGCAAAAUCUUGAAAAAAGAAAUCAAGCAUCAACAACACAGUAGUAGUUGAUCAAGAAUUCUAUUGACAAAUAAAGUGUUCAUUGUACCCUUAUGUACAAGGUUUUACCUGAUUUGUAGGUAUUUUAGAUGUCCCAAUCUGACUGAGGGGUGGAUUUCGGUCACCUAAGCUUUGUGCAAUAUCUCCCUCACCAGCGUGAAACAACAGUCACCACCUGCACGGAAUAGGAAUGGAAAGAUAUUAAUGUGGGUGGAAGAAGGGAUAGUACAGGAAAGGGGCAAAACAAAGACAGAGGCCAACCUAGCCGAGAACUGUGCUGCCAGGGUAAGACAGUGAUUCAGUAGAAAAGGAGCAAGGACGGUCAUUGAGAGGGACAAGCGAGGGAGCUUAUAUUAUUACAGUACAACACAUGUUGGAAAAUAGAAAGACACCCACCUUCUUUAAUCGCCGUCAAUGACGGGCAUACAUCAUCCACCAUG
RNAcentral lists this long non-coding RNA (1677 nucleotides) under Triticum aestivum (bread wheat). RNAcentral describes it as "long non-coding RNA (TAES_LNC010441)". Lineage: Eukaryota; Viridiplantae; Streptophyta; Magnoliopsida; Poales; Poaceae. The record is from RNAcentral.